RNAcentral lists this ribosomal RNA (253 nucleotides) under uncultured bacterium. RNAcentral's name for it is "partial 16S ribosomal RNA". It matches the Rfam family "Bacterial small subunit ribosomal RNA", at positions 524 to 776 of the family's 1533-position model. The record is from RNAcentral.
UACGUAGGGGGCAAGCGUUGUCCGGAAUCAUUGGGCGUAAAGCGCGCGUAGGCGGCCCGGUAAGUCCGCUGUAAAAGUCCAGGGCUCAACCCUGGAAAGCCGGUGGAUACUGUCGGACUAGAGUACAGAAGGGGCAACUGGAAUUCUCGGUGUAGCGGUGAAAUGCGUAGAUAUCGAGAGGAACACCUGCGGCGAAGGCGGGUUGCUGGGCUGACACUGACGCUGAGGCGCGAAAGCUAGGGGAGCGAACGGG